This 462-nucleotide ribosomal RNA is filed under the name uncultured bacterium. RNAcentral's name for it is "bacterial SSU rRNA". It matches the Rfam family "Bacterial small subunit ribosomal RNA", at positions 29 to 526 of the family's 1533-position model. The record is from RNAcentral.
AACGAACGCUGGCGGCAGGCCUAACACAUGCAAGUCGAGCGUGAAGCAGUCUUCGGACUGUGGAAAGCGGCGGACGGGUGCGUAACACGUGGGAAGCUACCUUGAAGUGGGGGAUAGCCAUUGGAAACGAUGGGUAAUACCGCAUACGCCCGAAAGGGGAAAGAUUUAUCGCUUCGAGAUGUGCCCGCGGAAGAUUAGCUUGUUGGUGAGGUAACGGCUCACCAAGGCGACGAUCUUUAGCUGGUCUGAGAGGAUGAUCAGCCACACUGGAACUGAGACACGGUCCAGACUCCUACGGGAGGCAGCAGUGGGGAAUCUUGCACAAUGGGCGAAAGCCUGAUGCAGCCAUGCCGCGUGCGUGAUGAAGGCCUUCGGGUUGUAAAGCGCUUUUAGGUGCGACGAUGAUGACGGUAACACCAGAAAAAGCCCCGGCUAACUUCGUGCCAGCCGCCGCCGUAACAC